GAGGGGCCUGUCACAAAAUCGACAACCCACGAUAAACCUCACCACCCUUAGACACCCAGCCUAUAUACCGCCGUCGUCAGCUCAUCCUGAGAAGAAAAUAAAAUGAGCCUAAUAGUCAUGCACAAAUACGACAGGUCAAGGUGUAGCUUAUACGGUGGCGCUGAUGGACCACAUUGUUUAAACUAAACUAGACCAAAAACUAUUGAAAUAUUUACAAAAGGUGAAUUUAGUAGUAAGAAAAGACAAGAAAAUCUACCUUAAAUUGUGCUCUGGAGUGUGCACACACCGCCCGUCACCCUACUCUAAAUUUUACCAAUAAGAGUAGGUAAGUCGUAACAAGGUAAGUGUACCGGAAGGUGUACUUGGAAACCAAAAAGUAGCUUACAUUAAAGCAUUCACCCUACAACUGAAAAAUGUUGAAACCAACCUUUUUGAGCCCGCUAGAAGCCCAAAUAUAAACCCAAAACCACCUAACCAAUCACUCAAAACAUUUGCCCAAGCUAGUAGAUGCGAUCGAACCCGCCCAUCGACGCAAUAGUUAAAGUAC
Molecule: ribosomal RNA, 547 nt
Filed under: Brookesia superciliaris
Lineage: Eukaryota; Metazoa; Chordata; Lepidosauria; Squamata; Chamaeleonidae
Description: partial 12S ribosomal RNA
Rfam family: Bacterial small subunit ribosomal RNA (bases 1-378)
Source: RNAcentral